GGUCAAAGGAGUUGCAUCACAAUGGCGCUAACAUAAUAGUCAAUAAAAUCAAAUACAGUAUGAGAAACGCUCAAAUGUAAAACCAGGUCAUGUCUAAAGGUCGCACGUUGGUCACUGCAAACCUCCACAAUAUUAUAAUUCAGAUGUCAAUAAGCACUUUUAGCCCUCUUGGAUUUCAUUUUUGUGCCUGACUAAAAAUAAGCAAACAGUAGAGCUUCAGGAGAGAUUCAGCACAAGUUUGAGUGUUUGUCAGAGGACCCCCCCUCUUCCUCACAUCCACUGCCAGUCAAGAACAUAAAGCCUGAGCGUAAAGCGUCUCACAUGGGCCCUUGAGGACCUGUUGGAACAAGCCUGAGCUGCAACAAAGAGCAUCCUGCAGCGUCUGACAAAACCAGGCCUACCUAACCUCGGACACAACCGCGGACCGGCCCAAUUGUGAGCAAGCUCUUCUUUGUGUUCCUUUCCAUCUUCCACACAUUCCUGUUCACGGAUGUUCAACCUCAGUGUAAAAGUUUUACGGCGGACUAAUAAGGAAUGUCGGAAUUCCCUCAGUACGUUUGAUGUGAUCAAAACCUGUUUUCUCACAAAGGCAUAAUCGGUUCUAAGUGGCGUGCCGAAUGGAGAGCUAUCGGCGUGAAGAAGCGAAGGGAACGGUCAUUAUUAACAGUGGCAAAGACUCAACACCUGCGAGUGAAGAAAAACAAGAUCCUACGGUGCAUAUCUACAGUCCCGUUUCUCAGGAGACGGUAAAUAAAUUGACGCAACGGAGCUUUAUGGCCAGGCAACCUUAAUCCAAUCCUAAAUGCUAAAAAAUGCAUGAUGAAAAGAAACACAGAUUUCUAUACUUCGUUAAAGGGUACCAGAAA
Long non-coding RNA from Syngnathus acus (greater pipefish), 866 nucleotides. RefSeq lists it as uncharacterized. The transcript is spliced from 2 exons. The record is from RefSeq and is a predicted model, not a curated record. Lineage: Eukaryota; Metazoa; Chordata; Actinopteri; Syngnathiformes; Syngnathidae.